Non-coding RNA from Doryrhamphus excisus (bluestripe pipefish), 1187 nucleotides. NCBI's taxonomy places the organism in Eukaryota, Metazoa, Chordata, Actinopteri, Syngnathiformes, Syngnathidae. The record is from RefSeq and is a predicted model, not a curated record.
AUAAAUAAACUGCUGUGUUGGAGAGACGACCAACUGUUCCCGCUCUUUUGUGUGGUUCAGCAGAACAUGCUUGAAUGGCUCGAUGGUUGUAGUUGCGUAGAAGAAGAAAUAAAUCAACUGCUGUGUUGGAGAGACGACCAACUGUUCCCGCUCUUUUGUGUGUUUCAGGUUGGUGAAAAAGAAGUAUUUUUAAGUACACCACGAUAUUUAGUAUAGUCAUGUAGAGUGACUUUUGUUGCCUCUGUAAUGUAUAUUAGUUGUUUAUGUGAGAAAAGAAAGUGUGUAUAUUCGCUAAUGCUAACAGGCCUAACGGUGAGAACCGAGGCCUGGCCGCCUUUAGCAUCCAUUUUAGGUGCAAGUGAAGUAGAUAGACAAAAGAAUGGGUGAAGGAACAAAACGGAUGUAUAUUUUUCUUAUAUAUAUUAUCUUAAUAUGCCUAUUUCCUGUCAAGUAGCAGAACAUGCUUGAAUGGCUCGAUGCUUGUAGUUGCGUAGAAGAAGAAAUAAAUAAACUGCUGUGUUGGAGAGACGACCAACUGUUCCCGCUCUUUUAUGUGUUUCAGGUUGGUGAAAAAGAAGUGUUUUUAAGUACACCACCAUAUGUAGUAUAGUCAUGUAGAGUGACUUUUGAUGACUCUGGAAUGUGUAUUAGUUGUUUAUGUGAGAAAAAAAGUCUGUGUAUAUACAUGUGUAUAUUCGCUAAUGCUAACAGGCCUAGCUGUGAGAACCGAGGCCUGGCCGCCUUUAGCAACCAUUUUAGGUGCAAGUGAAGUAGACAAAAGAAUGGGUGAAGGAACAAAAUGGAUGUAUAUUUUUCUUAUAUAUAUUAUCUUAAUAUGCCUAUUUCCUGUCAAGUAGCAGAACAUGCUUGAAUGGCUCGAUGCUUGUAGUUGUGUAGAAGAAGAAAUAAAUAAACUGCUGUGUUGGAGAGACGACCAACUGUUCCCGCUCUUUUGUGUGGUUCAGCAGAACAUGCUUGAAUGGCUCGAUGCUUGUAGUUGCGUAGAAGAAGAAAUAAAUGAACUGCUGUGUUGGAGAGACGACCAACUGUUCCCGCUCUUUUGUGUGUUUCAGGUUGGUGAAAAAGAAGUGUUUUUAAGUACACCACCAUAUGUAGUAUAGUCAUGUAGAGUGACUUUUGAUGCCUCUGUAAUGUAUAUUAGUUGUUUAUGUGAGAAAAGAAAGUGU